RNAcentral lists this ribosomal RNA (460 nucleotides) under uncultured bacterium. RNAcentral describes it as "partial 16S ribosomal RNA". It matches the Rfam family "Bacterial small subunit ribosomal RNA", at positions 338 to 795 of the family's 1533-position model. The record is from RNAcentral.
CCUACGGGUGACAGCAGUGGGGAAUAUUGGUCAAUGGGCGCGAGCCUGAACCAGCCAAGUAGCGUGAAGGAUGACUGCCCUACGGGUUGUAAACUUCUUUUAUAAAGGAAUACAGUGAGGCACGUGUGCCUUUUUGUAUGUACUUUAUGAAUAAGGAUCGGCUAACUCCGUGCCAGCAGCCGCGGUACUACGGAGGAUCCGAGCGUUAUCCGGAUUUAUUGGGUUUAAAGGGAGCGUAGAUGGGUUGUUAAGUCAGUUGUGAAAGUUUGCGGCUCAACCGGAAAAUUGCAAUUGAUACUGGCAGCAUUGAGUACAGUUGAGGUAGGCGGAAUUCGAGGUGUAGGGGUGAAAUGCUUAGAUAUCACGAAGAACCCCGAUUGCGAAGGCAGCCUACUAAACUGCCACUGACAUUGAUGAUCGAAAGUGUGGGUAUCAAACAGGAUUAGAUACCCUAGUAGUC